AGUUACCAAAGCAGGUAACAUGUAAAUAACAGUGUAAAAAUUGGGUUGUUUACUUCCGGCGAUGAUUAUUUUCUUAUAUGCAAUGAAAUGUAGUGUGAAAAUUUCACUGUAUCACUGGAAAGGAUUAAACUUUACACAUGCAAAGUAUUUCUUUGGUUGAAAUAAAGGUAAAUACUGUACAAUUUUUUUAAAAGUGCCAAUUUAACAAAGACUAAUAGGGAAAAAUCAAUGGUGGUAUUACACCUAUUUAGGGAAACUACAUAUGCACUCGUGACCUUAUUGUACUUUCAUUUUUAAAAGUUAUUAAUAAACCAGUUCAUACAUUGUAAACAUGGACUAUUCGGAAUGGAUUUAGACACAGAGAGCACGUUUGAGGUAAAAUUGCCUUGAAAUGAGGGUUUACGGGUGUUUUCUAAGUCAAAUGAGUGGACAGACAAAGCUGUAUUUAGUUUACUGUGUUAAAUUUUAAAUUACCCUUACAGAUUUGUUUAUACAACAUGUGAUUUUUUCAGUGUUAACCAUGUUCUGAAGAGCAUUCUGUUGAAAAAUCUCAUAUGUGAAUUGGUCUGCAGAUGACACUUCAGCAUUAAAGUAAGUAUCAACUAUCAUCAUGUUUUUUUGGUUUUUUUUGGCCGCAAAAGUUUACAAUUUGCCAUUGUGCCGUCUACAUUUUGCAUAGACAAUAAAUCAUCUAAACACUUAUUUGCCCUGGAUUUACACACAUCAGAAUCCAGUCUCACAUACUUAAACUUUAUAAUUCUUACCAAUUAUUUUUUGUACCAGCAUUCCAAGGGACAUAACCCUUUUUAAAAACAUUUUGAGGUAUUUUUUUAUUACUCUUUCUCCCAAUUUUCUAAUGUAAAAUACAAGAAAGUGGACUCUUUGUGUAAAUCUAUUAGAAAUAUACUGUUAUGAGUAAAUAAAAAGACUUUGAUACCAGUAACAAUAAAUGAUUGACUGAAAGGGAACCGUUAUUUGUCACACUAGGCGAACAGACCAAAAACUUGAGUUACACAUAAGGGCUUAUAGAAACUUCCGUGUAGACUGUUAACAUUUAUAGAGACAGUUCUUUCAGCUAAAACACUUUAAUUAUUGAUUUAACAUUACAUUUAUUUAAUUUUUGUGGGGAAAUAAUCACAUUUGUUUUAAUUUUUAGACAAAAGAUAUCAAGUUUUGAUGAAAAAGGAAGAAAGGAGGAAAAAUGGACCAAAACAGACCAAAACAGACCUUCAAAUGAACUCUAAAAGGUGCAAUAAAAUUGUU
Molecule: long non-coding RNA, 1263 nt
Filed under: Mytilus galloprovincialis (Mediterranean mussel)
Lineage: Eukaryota; Metazoa; Mollusca; Bivalvia; Mytilida; Mytilidae
Source: RNAcentral